This 348-nucleotide unclassified non-coding RNA is filed under the name Hevea brasiliensis (rubber tree). The record is from RNAcentral. Lineage: Eukaryota; Viridiplantae; Streptophyta; Magnoliopsida; Malpighiales; Euphorbiaceae.
GGAAGAUACCAGGGCUUUUGAUUUUAUCUCGGACCAUGUUGCAGCUGCUCGAGAUCCAAAGCGAGUAGGCUGAAUUUAGGAAGCCAUCUCUCACUAUCAAGGUUCUUACUAGUCAUUGUUCGCAACUUAGAACGAAAACCACAGUUGUUUCCCAUUUGAGACGAACGGCUAUCACAAUGAACACGUUGUUGAGGAAUUGCAUCAAGUCGCGCAUAUGAUAGAUGGGUAAGUCGUUAAGAAGUCGGAAAAAUGAGAAAAUAGAAACAGGGUCCAUUAAGUUGAAGAAGAAUGACUUUCUUUUACUUAAUCAGCUCUAUAUUUGUGGUAAUUCCUGGACUGGUUGUGUUU